RNAcentral lists this ribosomal RNA (458 nucleotides) under uncultured bacterium. Its description in RNAcentral is "SSU rRNA". It matches the Rfam family "Bacterial small subunit ribosomal RNA", at positions 26 to 518 of the family's 1533-position model. The record is from RNAcentral.
AGGACGAACGUUGGCGGCGUGCCUAACACAUGCAAGUCGAACGUGGCUUAAGUUUACUUAAGUCUAGUGGCGGACGGCAGAGUAAUGCACAGGAACGUACCUCGAGGUGAGGGAUAGCCCUUCGAAAGAAGGGGUAAUACCACAUGUGCUCGCAAGAGCAAAGCCGCAAGGCGCCAUGAGAACGGCCUGUGUCCUAUCAGGUAGUUGGUGAGGUAAAGGCUCACCAAGCCUAUGACGGGUAGCUGGUCUGAGAGGAUGAUCAGCCUGAUCGGGACUGAGACACGGCCCGAACUCCUACGGGAGGCAGCAGUUGGGAAUUUUGCACAAUGGACGAAAGUCUGAUGCAGCGACGCCGCGUGGAGGAUGAAGGUCUUCGGAUCGUAAACUCCUUUACUUGGGAAUAAUUUAAUGAAGGUACCAAGUGAAUAAGCACCGGCUAACUCCGCGCCAGCAGCCAC